GAAUGCCGCGGUGAAUACGUUCCCGGGUCUUGUACACACCGCCCGUCACACCAUGGGAGUCGGAAAUGCCCGAAGUCUGUGACCGAACCGAAAGGAAGGAGCAGCCGAAGGCAGGUCGGAUGACUGGGGUGAAGUCGUAACAAGGUACC
This 149-nucleotide ribosomal RNA is filed under the name uncultured bacterium. RNAcentral's name for it is "partial 16S ribosomal RNA". It matches the Rfam family "Bacterial small subunit ribosomal RNA", at positions 1352 to 1500 of the family's 1533-position model. The record is from RNAcentral.